RNAcentral lists this long non-coding RNA (6756 nucleotides) under Malus domestica (apple). RNAcentral describes it as "long non-coding RNA (MDOM_LNC020518)". The record is from RNAcentral. Lineage: Eukaryota; Viridiplantae; Streptophyta; Magnoliopsida; Rosales; Rosaceae.
UAACCCCUCACCGUAAAACCUGUAUACUUUCCCAGAAAAUAGCAUAUAUAUAAACAUAUAUAUAAGCAAAAAUCUCAAAUCUCAAACCUUUAACACUUUUCAGAAAAAUAUAUAUAUAUAACCAUAUGAAAUCUCAAAACUUGAAUCCCAAAUCUUUAACAUUUUUCAAGAAAAACAUGCCAUGCCAUAAAUCAAAAUAUAAAUCAGGUGAAAUAAGGAAUCAAUCGGAGACCCUGCAGUUGGUCCUAUACGAUUAAUUCAAUAGCUCAAUAUCUCACUAAGCCGGAGUCACCACAGUGACCUAUACGGCCCUACUCUGCACAUCACUCGGAACUACGUAAGGUAGUCUGUACGAUGAAAGGUGUAAAAAUACGCUCUAGUGCUUCUCUCAUCAUAUCAUCAGCGCGCAUAACUAAGGUCACCCACUAGUCGGAAUCACGCCUAGUGAUCUGUACGACUAGCAUGUCGGAACCCUCACAUGGUCUGUACGACAUCCACCUACUUGGAUCCAAGGCGAGCGUGCGGUGUGGUGAAUAAAAUAAGCACUAACACCUAGGGUGCAGAUUAUGAGCUUCAAAUUAUAUCAACAUCAACCAAUUCAAUGCAUAAAUGAACUCACCUGACUUACCUUUGCCUCCACAGCACCAUGCAAUAUGUAUGCAUCAUAUAUCAAUCAUAUAAUUCAUAAACCAAUCCAUGAUUUUCAAAUAAUUCUAUGCAUGGCAUGUUCAAAACAUAUUUUCAUAUAAAACAUUUUCUGGGAAAAACAGUAGUAUAUAGGUAAUACGAAAACAAAACUGCCCACUCACCUGGAGUUCGCUCAACAACUCCCUAGCACCACACAUCAAGGCGUCAUGAAGAUUAGCGCCUAGAACAAUAAUCAAACCCAACCUCAGAAAUCCUGCCGAUAGAAUACAUAACUUAUAUAAGACACGUCACUACGUAGUUCGAUCCGGAUGAUCUGCAAUUCAGAUUUCAAAAUCCGAAACUUCCAGAGGUCCACAAUAUACCUCUAGGACAACAUCCUAAAAUUUCGUUACCAUCCAACGGUCGGAUCUCCGUCAAUUUCCAAAACUAAGUGACGGUUAACAUUCUAUUUUAUGAACUUACAAUUCUAAUUCCGGAAUAUCCGUAAAUCGGAUUCCCAAUCCGUAAGUUCCUAUAAUCCUCAAAUAUUACGUAUUACAAUGUAUCAAAGUUUGAUGACGAUCCAACGGUCGGAUCGUCAAUUCACAUUUUCACCUAACCCCGAAUCGUAACCAACUUAGGUUCAAUUAUUCAAUUUACGUCCAUCAAUUAUCAAAACAGAACCUAGAACCUUAAUCACAAGCUAAUAAUGACAUUGGCGGCCAUUGGCCACACGCCGCCGCGCGGGCCGCCGCGGGUGGCGGUUGGCCGCCCCCGGCUCGCCGGAAAAUUCAACUAUUUCCAAAAAUUACCAAAAUUUGCAGAUUUGAAGAUCUCAAUGAGUAGAACAACUUUCAUACCUGAGACCAAGGCCAAUUUGGCCUGGAAGUGCUUCAAUUUCACCAAAACCGUGAAGAACCCUAGAAUUUGGGUGUUUCCAAUUCGACCUUCAAACUUGUUCCAACGCCUCAAUUACCUCUUGGGCUUUGUUCUAGGUCCUAAAGGAAUGCUAAAGGUGUUAGUAAUUGAAAGAAAACAUUUCAAAAUUUGGAGAAUUUAAACAAAAGGGUCGCGGCACCCGUAGGGGUGUUCUUCGCGAAAUCACAACGAAAUUCAAUGAUUCUUGGGGUGAAACGUAAAGAGGGAAGGCCUAGAUGAUGAUUAGGAGUGGUACCUUGACUCAAUUCGUUGGAAAUUUGGACGGAAAUGGCGAAAACCCGCCGAUUUGGAAGCUUGGGUCGCGCGGUCAAGGGUGACCCAUUCCUCCUGUUCCCCCGCGCACCACUCUCCCUCCUUUCCCUCCUUUCCGUCCCCUGAUUGGUCAGCUUCUUCCUCUCCCUUCUUCUGGUUUGCUCUCACCUUCUUCUUCUCCGAUUGGGCAUUUCUGCCCAGUCUCUUCUUCUUUUCUGUUUUUCUGUUUCUUCUUCUCAUACACAUACACACACCAAAAACCUUUCCCUCAUCCCAGCCAUCCAUUUCAUUCAUCAAUAAAUCUGGGCCGUCCAAUUUCAUAAAAGAAUUUCUAUAUUUUACUAAAAUUAUAAUUCCUUAAAAUUCCAAAUUUCAAACGUUAAUAACUUCUUCGAUAUAACUCCAAAUCACGAACCGUCUGCGCCCACACGUCCGUAACGACGAGUACUACGAGGAUAUGUCAAGAAAACAAAUCUUAGAUGGCACGACACAACGAUUAACCUCGAAUGAUGUGCGUGCCUCGAAGGGCAUUUUUGUAAAAUCCUUUAUUAAAACUUUAAAAAUUCUUAAAAUUAGGGACGGGCUGUCACAAUCUACCCACCUUACAGAAAUUUCGUCCUCGAAAUUUACACAAUCUUUACAAUCCAUCAAUAUCCAUGAAACAGCCCGAAACACAUCUCUCUCAUUCGAUUCUUUGACUUUCAAGUAGUUUCUUCCACUGAAAGAUUCCUCCAUAAAUUUUCACCAAACUCAGAGUCUUGAAUAUCAUCCGUCCCCAAUUCUAACAAUUUCGAAACACAAGACAUAGCUUUCCCACGGCCUUAUGGCGUUACUCUAGGGAACAAACUGAAGGAACCAACAUACCCAAGAAGUUUAAACAGAUCCCAAUCUCCUUUUUUCCAUAAAACAAAUAAAUAACUGUUGCGCUUAUCUGGAAAGGUUGAUGUUCUCAUACUGAAGUAACAUGCGCUGACGUCACAAGUUAAUCAAUUAUUAUUCAAACUCCAACCUAACUAUUUGGUAUACGAGGAAGCUUGUCCAUGAAAUCCAUAGUAAUAUUCUCCCAUUUCCGCCGUGGAAUGGGAAAUGACUACAUUAUUCCAAAAGACUUAUUUCUUUCUGCUUUAACCUGAUGACUGAUGAUACGCCUACUAACAUACUUCGCCAUUCCUCUUUUCAUACCCGUCAAUAGUACAUGAACGAAUGGUAUGAUAAAUCUUAGUACUUUUGGGAUGCAUUGUAGAAGUGGAAUAAUGUACAUCGUCAAAAUUGCUUUAUUUAAUUCCACACCAUUAGGCAUAAACACUUUGUUCCCUUGCAUAAGCUUGCCAUCUGAUUCUCUAACUCUAAGGUCCUUCUUUAUCCCGUUAUUCCUUGCUUUAAAUAAAUUCUUAAAUUUCUUCGUCAAACGCUUGAGUAUCGAGUACGAUCUACCAAAUGGGUCCAACUUAGAAAUUAGCAAGUAAGGCUUAUUCUCGAUUUUUGAUACUCAACUUUACUCCAGUAGAUUUCAAAUCCACAAGAAGAUGAACAUAGCAAGCAUACCAAGCAUUAAUUCUCACUGGGGUCUUCCUACUAAAUGCAUCAGCCACAACAUUAGCUUGACCACCCUCGUCACACAAUCAUAAUCACUAAGCAACUCAUUCCACCUUUGUUGCCUAAGAUUAAGAUACCUCUGAAUAAACAGAUAUUGGGUACUCUUUUGAUUUGUAACAAUCAUGCACUUUUCUUCCCAUAAAGACAAUGUCUCCAAAUUCUCAAAGCAAAGAUGAUAGCUGCUAAUUCCAAAUUAUAAUUAGGGUAAUUCAUCUUAUGAGAUCCCAAUGGCCAUGAAGCAUAGGCAAUCAUCCUACCAUGUUGCAUCAACGCGCAUUCAAGAACAUUCAAAGAAGUAUUACUAUAGACCACGUAAUUACCACUAUCGUUUGGGAGUGCGAAAACAGAUGCAUGAGUGAGGGAAUACUUUACUUGCUGAAGCUCUACUCACAAUUUUUCAUCCCACUCAAACUUAACCUCUUUUCUCAUCAAUCUCGCCAAGGGCGAAGCAAUAAUUAAAAUCUUGGACGAACUAUCGACAAUAUCCUGCUAAUCCGAGAAAACUCUGAACCUCAGUCACGGUUGGCAAUUGUUCCAAAUUCUCAAUCGUUGCUACUCUUUUAAGAAUCCACUUGAAUACCUUAAGUAGAUAUAAUUAAUUUAUCCAACAUUAGCAUUUGCUAAACUUAGCAUACAUCAACGUUCCUUCAAUCUUUGCAACACCAACUUUAAAUAUCUAGCAUGCACUGCUCUAAUCUUAUCAAUCUCGUCAAUGGCAACAACAACAAACCGAUCUAGAUAUCACUGGAAUACUUCCUUCAGUAAGCUCAUAAAAGUAGCAGGUGCAUUCGUCACUCCGUAUGGCAUCCCAACUUGAAAUGACCAUAACGAGUCCUGGAUUCAGUCUUAUGGACAUCCCCACUGUUAAUCUUCAACUAAUAUCAUUCAGACCUCAAGUCAGUCUCAGAAAGUACCCAGGCGCCUCAGAGCUGAUCAAAUAAUAAUUAAUACACAACAAUGGAUAACAGCUCUCAAUCGUUACCCGAUUCAAUUACCUAAUAUCAAUGCCUAGCCUUAAUGUCCACUUUCUUCCUCACAAAUAAACCGGAGCUUUUCCAAUGUGAUAUAAUAAGUUGAAUGGAACUUUUAACUAAACCUGAACCAAUUUCUAACAUAGGAUUUGUACCUAAAAACAAUUCAAUAAUGGAACCCACAUCUCUGCCUGGCGGCAAUCUAGGUAAGUCAUCUGGGAAUACACCAAGAAAAUGUCUAACCAUCUUUACAUCUUCCAUACUAUUAGGAUCAACAUCAUUUAGCACCAUAUGAACUCAAUAUCUUGGCAGCCUUUUGAUAACAAUCUUCUUUGCUCUCUCAACAGGAAUAAUGGCAUAACUCACUCCACUUUACUUACCCCCAAAAGUAACCUCUGGUCAUCUAGGUCAACAAAAAUUAACUGAUUCCCCAUAGCAAUCUAGCUUGACACAAUUAUACUGCACCCACUGGUGCCAAAAAAAUCACCUCAAAAUCCAUAAUAUCCAACGGAAUAAAAUUCACUGACAUGACAUUUUUCACCAUCACUGGACACCCUUAAUAAACCAAAUCAACAUAAAGUGCCUUACUUGUUUACUUACUUAACGAAUCCAACAAAUAAGUUAUAAAUAUUACGGUCUGCAGCCCGCAAUACAAAUAACUCACUGUUGUCUCGAUAACUAAGUAACAAUUCCUGAGGGGUGUAAUAUUAUCAUCUUGUUCUUCCUUAGAAAUACAUAAAUACGCCUCGAUCGUGCUCCAACAUUACUUUCUUUGGCAACAUCGACCAUAAUAAGAAAUAUAUCAGCCGGAGUCAGCUAGAAUGACCUGUACGACUGAGUCUACAACUCGACCAUCCAUGCUAGCACAUAAGUCGGAGUCACAUAUAGUGACCUGUACGACUUACUCGUCAAUAUUUCCAAGUGAUAUGUUAAGGAAGACUAUUGGGUAACAACUGAUUCCAGGGACAAUUCAUACCUCUAUGUCCCAUCCGUCCACAUGAACACAUUCACUGAUUCCCACACUCUCCAAAGUGUCUAAUAUUAUACCUAUGGCACAAAGGUACAUUUCCCUUACUCGAGUCACCUUGUCUUUAAGAUCUGGGAUCACCCGUAAAUCUAUCACUUCGCCUCGGACCAGUGGCACUAAAACCUCAGUUGGAAGAAUUAGUUCUAACUUCACUUCUUUUGAAGCUCUGAGUCUUUCGACGUCCUUGAUAUGACGGAUCUUUAACUUUCUCACCUUUCCUCUAAUUACCAUUCUUUUCUUAUUCUUCUUUACUCUCGCUGAUCAUAUUCUCAAAGUCCUCAAAGCCCAACAACAUCUCGUAAACUCCUGGUAAAAAGUACAAUGGAUUGUGGUCGCCAAAGAACGUCACUUCUUCUUAUUAUCCCGCCAAAAAACGACAUAACACCUCGACCGGAUUAGUAACAACAUCCGAAUGGAAACAAGGCAAGUCUGUAUUCAAAUUUAACUUAUAAUCAGUCUCAAAGGUUCCUUUAGAUAAUAGACUGAAUCAUAGUGACAAUAAUUUCCCCCAAACUACUAUAUCAGGGAAUUUAGGCUCAUCCGAACUACGUGGCUCGCUAUGAGGCGGUAUAUAGUUCUGACAGAAGACACUAGGAAAUUCUCAAGAUGUCCAGAAUUGCAACCUAGGCUCUGAUACCAACUGACACACCCGUCCCGACACCCGUCCCGAAGUGAGGGCGUGCUGGCCGUCACGUGAGAGUGACGUAACCAUUUACAUAGUUCAGAAGCUUUAAAAAAAAAUUUCCAAUUACUAAGAUGACACACCCGAGGGUGAGUCCUACUUUUGUGAAUUCUGUCAGAACACCGUUGGAUUCCUCGUGGCCACCAAAGCUCUGCUAACUUGAACCUGGAGGGGCGCAAAACAAAAUUGAGUGGGUCAGUAAAAACAAAGUUUUUUGAAAACUUUUCAUUUAAAAUAUUUCUAACCCCUCACCGUAAAACCUGUAUACUUUCCCAGAAAAUAGCAUAUAUAUAAACAUAUAUAUAAGCAAAAAUCUCAAAUCUCAAACCUUUAACACUUUUCAGAAAAAUAUAUAUAUAUAUAUAACCAUAUGAAAUCUCAAAACUUGAAUCCCAAAUCUUUAACAUUUUUCAAGAAAAACAUGCCAUGCCAUAAAUCAAAAUAUAAAUCAGGUGAAAUAAGGAAUCAAUCGGAGACCCUGCAGUUGGUCCUAUACGAUUAAUUCAAUAGCUCAAUAUCUCACUAAGCCGGAGUCACCACAGUGACCUAUACGGCCCUACUCUGCACAUCACUCGGAACUACGUAAGGUAGUCUGUACGAUGAAAGGUGUAAAAAUACGCUCUAGUGCUUCUCUCAUCAUAUCAUCAGCGCGCAUAACUAAG